UCAAUUUCAAAACAGAUCAGCAAUAAAAUCCAAAAUAAGCAUAGCUAAAGCAUGUGGACAAUGCUAUUUAGCAAAUUGACAUGCUUAAGUAACACACGACACAACAAUUCCUAAGUGACAUUCAUAUACUUCGAUUACUACCUAAAUCAAACAUGAAAAUGAAUCCAAUCAAUAUUGACAAAAGCAUGUGCACAGUCUUUUUUUUUAUUUUUUGCAAUGAUGAUACAAGAAGGUAAUUUCAAUUUAACAGACUUGUGUAUUCCUUUCUAACACCGACACAAGUAAAAACAUGGGAGGAGGAGUAUUAUACAACAGAUGGUACCUGCAUCAAACAUGAAAUUGAAUCCAAUCAAUAUUGAUAAAAGCAUGUGCACAUUGCCUUUCAUUUUUUUUUAUUUUUUUUUGCAAUGAUGAUACAAGAAGGUAGUUUCAAUUUAACAGACUUGUGAAUUCCUUUCUAAAACUAACAUAAAUAAAAACAUGGAAGGAGGCAUAUCAGACAACAGAGAGGAAAAGAGAACGAAAAACUGCAUAAUUUUGUUAUUUAAACAACAUAUUUACUCUCAAAACACAAAACUUAAAGUGCAAACAUACAGUUAGGAAUCAAUGAUUUGUCGACUUCCCAAAAUCAGAAGAACUAUAUGCUCCAUUUCAUCUCAUAUUAAAUAGUUCGUAUUGAAAGGCAAAAGCUUGCAAAUCUCAAGUGAACGAUCCAAGUCAAUGCACCAGAAAGAUGGAAAGUCAAAAUGACUAGCUAUGGGCCCUGUAACUACAUCAAAAUCUUAAAAUCUACAACAGAGAGCACUUUUCAAGCUAUACAAAUUACUAGUAGCAUCAAAAUUAUAUUUGUUUUAGAACAAUCCAAGAAUGAACCAAGCCCAGUUUCAGCUGUUUUAGCUCAGUUCUUCAAGAAUAACACUUCAGCCUCCAGUAGAUAAAAUGAGUUUCAACUGGGUAACUGAACCAGCUUUAAUGAGGUCAAUUCCAGGUAGAAAUCUUGGGUACCUGAAAGUCUGGACCAACUUUCAGAAGCAACAAUUGAGUAGAGCAGCAGGAAGCAGGGCUGCAUUAUUUAUUCAAUCAUAACCAUCGCAUCUCAUCUACAAGCCUCGCCUUGCAAUAUAACUCUAUAUAUAUAUUAGAAAAAGCACUUCCAAAAUAACCUUCAUUUUUGUGCUGGGAACUUUUAAGGCAUGUAACGCAGCCCAUAAUAAACUACGUAACCUAUAACACAUUCAUAGGAUUAAGCUUAAAUGAAUUCUCUGUUAGAUUUUCUAUACGGUUCAGAAACACAAACUA
Populus euphratica (Euphrates poplar) is the source of this 1299-nucleotide long non-coding RNA. RefSeq lists it as uncharacterized. Lineage: Eukaryota; Viridiplantae; Streptophyta; Magnoliopsida; Malpighiales; Salicaceae. The transcript is spliced from 2 exons. The record is from RefSeq and is a predicted model, not a curated record.